GAAAUGCGAUAAGUAAUGUGAAUUGCAGAAUUCAGUGAAUCAUCGAAUCUUUGAACGCACAUUGCGCCCGCCAGUAUUCUGGCGGGCAUGCCUGUCCGAGCGUCAUUUCAACCAUCAAGCCCCCGGGCUUGUGUUGGGGACCUGCGGCUGCCCGCAGGCCCUGAAAACCAGUGGCGGGCUCGCUGUCACACCGAGCGUAGUAGCAAUCACCUCGCUCAGGGCGUGCUGCGGGUUCCGGCCGUUAAACAGCCUUACAAAACCCAAGGUUGACCUCGGAUCAGGUUGGAAGACCCGCUGAACUUAAGC
RNAcentral lists this unclassified non-coding RNA (306 nucleotides) under plant metagenome. Its description in RNAcentral is "partial contains 5.8S ribosomal RNA, internal transcribed spacer 2, and large subunit ribosomal RNA". The stretch from base 1 to 105 matches the Rfam family "5.8S ribosomal RNA", at positions 50 to 154 of the family's 154-position model. The record is from RNAcentral.